This 358-nucleotide ribosomal RNA is filed under the name uncultured bacterium. RNAcentral's name for it is "bacterial SSU rRNA". It matches the Rfam family "Bacterial small subunit ribosomal RNA", at positions 32 to 361 of the family's 1533-position model. The record is from RNAcentral.
AAUCAACGCUGGCGGCGUGCCUCAGACAUGCAAGUCGAACGCGAAAUUUCCCUUCGGGGAGAAAGUAGAGUGGCGCACGGGUGAGUAACACGUAGGUAAUUUGCCUUUGGGUGGGGAAUAACUCAGGGAAACUUGAGCUAAUACCGCAUAAUGCAGCGGCUCGACAUCGAGACAGUUGUUAAAGCGGGGGAGUUGGAGCAAUCCGACCUCGCGCCUAAAGAGAAGCCUGCGGCAGAUUAGCUAGUUGGUAAGGUAAGUGGCUUACCAAGGCGACGAUCUGUAACCGGCCUGAGAGGGCGGUCGGUCACACUGACACUGACAUACGGGUCAGACUCCUACGGGAGGCAGCAGUCGGGAA